RNAcentral lists this ribosomal RNA (238 nucleotides) under uncultured bacterium. RNAcentral describes it as "partial 16S ribosomal RNA". It matches the Rfam family "Bacterial small subunit ribosomal RNA", at positions 524 to 761 of the family's 1533-position model. The record is from RNAcentral.
GACGAACCGUGCGAACGUUAUUCGGAAUCACUGGGCUUAAAGCGCGUGUAGGCGGGCCGGCACGUCGGUGCUGAAAGCCCCCGGCUCAACCGGGGAACUGGCGUCGAUACGACCGUCCUGGAGGGGCGUAGGGGGACCUGGAACUUCCGGUGGAGCGGUGAAAUGCGUUGAGAUCGGAAGGAACGCCCGUGGCGAAAGCGAGGUCCUGGACGCCUACUGACGCUGAGACGCGAAAGCC